RNAcentral lists this long non-coding RNA (34082 nucleotides) under Lynx pardinus (Iberian lynx). Lineage: Eukaryota; Metazoa; Chordata; Mammalia; Carnivora; Felidae. The record is from RNAcentral.
CGCCCCGUAAGCCUACUGAGAACUAAAGACAGACGGAGUCAUUUUCAUCAAAAGCCUACUUUUACCUGAAGGAAGUUUGGCAACACCAGUCUAGUGUGGUCUCCUGAAGGAAAAUGGAAGGGUUGGUGACUUACCAUGACAAGGUAAAUACCAAAAGACAAAUGCUAAAAAUGUUAAUGAAAAUCAUUCCUGCUUGCCCUUUAGGAGGGUUAGCGGGGGUAUUCUGAGUACUGGGUUCAUACUUUAGAGGCAAGUUGACGGCUAAUUAAUUUUGGUUACUUAAAAGGCAGAAGGGGGGAGGGGACAGGGUCCCUGUGACAGUGGGGCACUUGCAAGUGUGGAAGACGUGGGAGGAACGCAGAGAUAACUCGGUGGUUUUCAUGGGGCACUGCCCGUUUCAUUAGUUUCAUCUCACAAAGGGCGAUCUCGGCCCCCAGCACACGCAUCAUUGAGGCCCCCGGUGAAGGUGGGGAAGGUGCGAGAGCAUCGGCCCCUCUGCCCAGGAGGGCUCAGCAGGGUAAGCUCUGACGGGCUGCUGGCCGCCCGUGCCUGCGGAAUCUGGGACAAGAUAAACACCAAAGGUUUGAGGUUGGCUGUCGAACGGGGGCACAGAUACAUCGCAGGAAUGUUUGAGACGGCCUCAAACAAGACGGUGUGGCUCUUCUUCUGCAGGUUUUAGUCUACAACUCCCUCUCCCAGCCCGAGUUCCGUGUCAGUAGAGGGCCAGGGAAAAAGCCAGACCUGCCCCGGGGCUCUCUUUCCUACGCAAGAAGGCCACCAAGCUCACAACACAGCAUUUUCUGUGUAGGGGGUCGGGGGGCCAAGCUUUUCUGAAAGGUAACGUUGCACACGCAGUAACCACCGCCACAUUUUCUUGGGAGCAGCUGGUCUAUACCAGCGCCCCUGAGCAACCCCAAGCUGGGAGAAUAAUGUGGGUAUUUGUAUGGAGCUGGGUGCUGACACACAUCAUUUUCAUAAUUACUGUAUUUCUCGUCUCCAUGUCCGUGGGCCAAGCAGAAAGAGUGCAGGGAAGGCAGUCACCUAUAUGUACUUCUAUCUGCUCGAGUUUACAGUGAUGGCACAAGGCUGAUUAAUCCUCCCCUCUCCAUGACGUGGAGGCAGGAGCCGCCUAACGUUAUCUUUAUUAUUGUUCGGCAGAUUCCAUACCACUACAUACAGAAAGAGCGUAAAUCAUGGAACCAGUGUUUGAGGUCCAUAAAAUGCAAGGUUAUGAAUAUUUCAUUACUAUACAUUUUAUUUCCCUGUCUCUUCUGCAUCUCCCAAAAUGUUGUUUGUUUAUUUAUUGGCUCACUGUUCGCCAGGAAUGCUUAAUUCUUAAUAUAAGGUAUGGACACGAUGACCAACCUUGGCCCUUGCGGCCUGAGCUGGCAUUUGAAAGUAAUGAUAGAUGUUUUGGUGCAGGUUUUGGUUUUCCCGUUUACACGCUUUUUCAUCACGCAGAUAAUUGGCUGCGAGGUGACCCCACUAACAGAAGUUUCAGCUUCUUCCGUCAUAAUUGCAUUGAUCUGCAGGCCCCACAAAUUGACCCGCCCCCCCCCCCCCCCAAACGUUUCUCCUGUGAGCCACGGCUACUUAUUUAAAUUUUUCUCAACGCCUCAUUGUAUCCGUCUUUGGCUGAAGUAAGCAGACUUCUUCGGCUGCAGAUCUUGGCAGUGAAAGACACAUUGUCCAAGUGCAAUUAGCUUCACUCCCUGCGCCGGGCGGAAUGAUUUGUAUGAAUCAGCUGGUCCUGCAAAAGAGGCAGCCAUUAUCACCUGCUUGUGAAUUUCCCUUUAACCACAAAAUUCAUAUUAGUAAAUAGCCGGGGGGAUUCAAUCUGAGCAAAAUCAGAACCUGAGUGGCCUGCAUUAAGGUGCUAACUUCUCUCCUGCUAUAGGGCAUAGGGGAUAUUAAUACAAAUCUUUGGUACAGGCUGCAAAAUAUAGAAAAUGUCAUAAUUAUAUCUGCAAUUCAGCAACGAAACAAUUCCCCCCCCCCCUUUCUUCUCUGUCAUCAACAUAAUAGCAGCCUAUGGGAUUUGUAUUUUCUGGCUGUGAGCCCUUUUAUGGGGCUGUAGGAAAAAAAAUACAAGCAGGUUAGUUUCACAGCUCUGAGGAGGCCUCGUGACAGAAUACUGCUUUUAAUGUUAUUGUCUCUAGCUUGUAACCCACUCUCUUUGGGUGGACAGGCUACUGUGCUCAGACAGCAUCAUUUAGGUUUUUCCGAUAAACCUCUAGGUCCCCUUUGCUGCUUCUCCCACCCUCCUGGAUGGGGAAAUAAUUACCCAGCUUGUGGGAUCAGGCUCUAUUACGGAUAGGGAGGGGGUUAGUCAGAGGGGAGUGAAGUCAGAAGGAGGCAAGUCUCCAAGGUUUCUCUUGGAGACAUAAAAGAACCUAGGAAAGAUGCAUUCUGAGUGAAUCCUCACAUCCCGUUUAUUUUGCUAGCCAAGACAAAUAUCACAGCUCAUAUCUAACAUUUGAAAAGCAGGGCCAAAUAAAAUGAUGGAUUAAUAAGUCCAAGGACAGAAUAAUAGAAGGAAAAUAUAUUAUAGAAAACGAUGCCCGUGUCAAUCUGAAAGGGGUGGGGCGGGGUUGGGGGGAAGAAAAGCUGAAAUGAAAAUGGAAAAAAAAAGUGUGCCAUAGCAACCUUAAAUGAAAAACCCCCCUGUCGUCACGCUAAAUAUUAAUUAAUGUUACCCAAGACCCCUAUGGUACUAUUACUUGAGAAACAGGUGUGUUCAGACCAUUUAAGAUUCUUUUUGUUGUAACCUACACUAUGGGCAUCAUGGACUGAACGCCAGGCUAAAUGUUCCCUCUAUAAUUAUUGGUAAUAAUAUUCCGGGCACAUGUACAGCCUCCAUCAUCAUCCAUGAUGAGGCUAAUCCAGUACUUUCUGCAUGAACUGUUAUAAUACCCAAAGCAGCAGGGCAAAAUAUUAUCAAGCAUGGGUUUACCGCUGGAAAACCUAGUGCAACAGAGUCCACGUCUAGAAAAUCGACUAGGGAUGGAAUUUGUUUGAACUGGCCAUACAGACACACACCUGUAACCCUCUGUGAGGGGACCCACUCAGUGAGCGUUUCUCAGAACAGGGUCAUGUGAGUCACAGGAAGCCAUCCUGAAUACACCUCUGCAGAACUAAGAAACUAUUCUUCCGUCAAGAGGCAGCUCUUUAAUGAGAGAUGAGGUGAUCUGAAUUCUGUUGUCAUGUCAGCCACAGACGCAUGGUAAUGUUCUGCGGGCCAUUCUGGGACUCCGUUUCAUAAAUGAUAAAGGUUGGAAGAUAGCCUUUCUCUAUUAAAGAAAGUGAGUGGCCUAGAGACAAAUAGUUUCUCUAUUGUUUUUUUUUUGUUUGUUUGUUUGUUUUAAGAAUUUUAAAAUCUGUGAGUAGCCUAGAGACAAAUAGUUUCUCUACUGGUUUUUUUUGUUUGUUUUUUUAAGAAAAUUUUUAAAGUUUAUUUAUUUAUUUUGGGGGGGAGGGAGGGAGUGGGGAAGGCACAGAGAGAGAGGGAAAGAGAGAAUUCCAAGCAGGCUCCAUGCUGUCAGCACAGAGCCCGACACGGGACUCGAACUCACAAGCCAUGAGAUCAUGACCUGAGCCAAAAUCAAGAGUCAUAUGCUUAACCUACUGAGCCACCCUGGCACCCCUCUAUUGUUUUUUAACACAAAGUGAAUGGACCAAUAAUGUCACAAGCAACAAAUCAUUAUUUAAAUGGAUUUGCUCAAGAGUCCUAUAAAAGACUUUAAUAGACGGGAAAGUCUGGAAGUUGCUAGAAAGGACUCAGAUGUGACAUAGAAAUACUGUCAUACAUGCCCGACCCUUCUUGAACUCUGAGAUUACAGCAAGGAGAAUGUAGUUGUGCCCACAUUUAAGGAGAAAAAAAAUGCAGCAUAUGAAAAUUCAAAUUUACAAACCAGAUCAAUUAAUGGGUGAUUAUUCACACUAUAAAAGGAUUUAUCGCUUUACAAAUGGAUUCCCUGCAGGGUUCCAUUUUAAUAACUGAGCUUUCUCAGUGUUAGAAGGCACUACCAAUUAAGAGUCAAUCAGAAGUGGAGAUAAAGCACCUCUGAAAUUAAAAUGUAUGUCGAUGGGAAAUCACUGGUAGGGUUACAAAAAUCGGCAUUACAAUUCUGUAGGGACACAGAUUUUUUUUCUCUCACAUGCCUUUAUUGAACACCUACUACAAACCCGACUGGUCCUGAAGGGUCGCUGUCAGGGGAUCUCAAAAAACUGAAUACACGGUAUUGUCUCUGGGACCUCCACAGGGUGUUGCAGCGAUAGGGUGUGAAGGAGGGACAAUCCCCACUUGCAAGGGGUGGGCACCGCUUUCUCGUCAGUGCACAUCAUCACUCCCCAUUCACCAAAUAUCAAGGAGGCUCCCCUGUCAUCACAUCAGUCACAGAAUGCCCUCACACACAUUCCAAUUUCUUUCGUCCCACCCACCCAGCACACUACUAACUGAGAACCUUUCUGAUGUUCAGAAACUCUGCUUGAAUCUCUUACAAUAUUGGUAUUAGAGACGUCGUAAGAGUUUAGCUCUUUUGGGUGAGGAGGAAAUUGAGGCAGGAAGAAAUGAAGGGGCAGAUCUUUUCAUGCCUUCUCCAUGUAUCUCUCUUUAAAUCAAUCUCUUUGGAGACAGGGCACUUGAUGCUACUCUGAAUCCUGCUUUUCCUUACCCUCGACGUUUUCUCUGUUGUCCCUCUGGAUCUCCACCCUUUGCCCUCGUCUUCAGGAAAGGACUCACCCUUUGUCAGGGUCAGCUUCCAUCUGUUCGCUGGGAUCUCUCUCCCGAAAGUCUCUGUGUCUUCCAGGAGUAGGCUUUUAGAACAGGAAGGGUGGGGAGUGAAAGUCCACCCCAAAGAUUCCAGUGACUCUGUGGGGAAAGUUCUCUAAUGAAGUAAAGAGAGUUUUCCAUUGGGGGCUUAAGGAGAGGAGGUUUGGAACUGCUGUGGCUGGCUUGAUAGGGCAUCAACAACAAGGUGAAUAAAAGGAAUUAUUCUUUGUGGUGGCUGGCUUCACUAGGGUUCAGCUGAUGAGGUUGCACAAAACCCUAACUGGCCCAAUCAGCACAUUUUUCAUUAUUUUCUUCAGCAGCUUUCAGCCACUCCUCACUGACGAAGGGGUUAAAUGUAAAGAGAUUGAGGGAUCUGGAUAGCACAGUAGACACAUCAUAGGAACGGCCAGCCUCGAGGUCCGUACCCAGAGGCAAAGUGACACAACAGGUGAUCUGGACCGCCCCACAACUGGAAUGCUUCAGGAAGCCAUAAUGAUCUGACCUGCUGACUCUGUUGGUGAGCAAUGGAGAGGAUGGGAAGGGGAGUUUCCAAGGCGAAGGUCAGAGUCUCAGCUUCAAACAUGCACCAGUUGUGCGUGUAGCAGUGUGGUCUCUGGUAUGGCCAGCUGGUGUGUUUGAGGCCAAGUGGAAAUGAAGUGAUCUAGAGGAAUGUUAAAGCCCCUAAAAAUGGUAUAUAGAGAGAGAGAUUGGGACAGGCACUGAAGUCAUUUUGUAAAGUAAAUGGAAGUGAAUUUGAAAAGCAUGACUCAAAUUUCCAUUAAAAUGCCCCUGGGACAAAAGAUUGCAAGAAGAUACACAACAAUUCUCAGCUACCUUCAUAUUAGUAUAAUGCAUCAGGGACCUCAAAUAAGGUUGCAUUGCCCACCAAAUUUCCACUGGUGCCAUUAGUAUUCAAUUGACAGGUAUUUUGGAUACAGUGUGCAUAGCAUAAACAAUAUGAAUAUCAACCCUCUGUCAGAUACUGUACUAAGCACAGUUUUGCAAUUGAAAAUAAACAGGUACCUUCCCUUAAGGUGGUAAGCCCAGUGAAGGAGGAGCAAGCUUCAAUUUCAGCAGCCUGUCAUAAGUACAAAUAUAUAUGCUCAUAGAAGGAAUGCGAAGGAAUGCCUAACUUAGUCUCUAGAAUCAUAGAAGGCUUCCUGGACAAGGCAACAUCUAAGCUGGGAUUGGAAAGGUAAUCUGAGAGAUGUUGGCAAAGAAGCAGCAGGAGUGGAGACCCAGAAGCGGAAAGGAGCAGGAUACACAGAAGGAAUCAGGUGUGAAGACGACCAGGAAGUCAGACUGGAAGGAAGAGGGGGGUAAGCGCUAAAUGGGCAAGGACGUCUUGAGUCACUCCAAGGAGCUGCCAUCUUAUCCUGAGAGCACAGAAAACAAGUAAGAGAUUUUUACACUGGAGGAAUGACUUGAUCACAUCUGCAGUUUAGAAAGCUCAUUCUCGUUGCUGUUUUGAGAGUACGUUAGUCUGAAGACGGCUGGCAUGGAUAUAUCACAUCCAGUUAUACCAGUACGGGAGAGGGAAGAAUGGAAGGUAACACCCAAGACUUCUGGCUUGUGCGUAUAGAAGGGUCUUGGCACAAAUCUCAGACACGCGAGCAGUUCGUUAGGCUGAGGGCAGCAGGAAUCUAUUGGUCCUGGCUCAGGCAUGUUGAGGUGGAGACGUCAGUAAGAUAUGCAGGUAAGCACGGUCCGUGGACAGACGUGAAGUCAGAUCAGGCAAGGGCUCUGGAAUGCACGUGGGGAUGUUUGCAUCCUUCAAGUAACUGAAGCCCUGGGGAUGGAGGAGAUCCACCAGAGAUGAUGGGAAGGGGCUAUGUAAUAACCAUGGUAGAAAACGUUUUGGAAAAUAGGAAUUCUAAUGCCUGCCUGUCUCCUGGCAUUAAGACAUUCCAGCUGGAGACUGUAAACAAAGUACCUUGCACCUUACAGAGAUUUAUGGAAAUGUUACUUUUUCAAAGUUUUCUUUGAACAUACUUCCUUGCCUAGGUAUUAUCACCAAAAACACCAACCAUCAUUGCGUGGAAUGUUCGCUGGGGCUAUAGAAGAUGUGAGAAAUGGGAAACUUGACUUUAAUUUUGUCACCCAACUGCCUUUGAUACCUUUGAUAUUUGAAGGAUACUCAAAGAUUAUCUAACUUUUAUUUCAGGUUAAACUCUCAAAAAGCUACAUACUUAAACCAUGAAUACUGAGCUCCCACUAAAAUGUCUUCUCUGAAUUAUUUAAUAAUACGAGGCUAUCGCAGUUGGGGAGGAAUCUCAGAAAUAACCAAGGGAAGCAUGUUCUGUCCCAUUUAUAGAGUUCCCACAGGGAACUCUAUGUGUCCGUUCUUCUGCUUGGCAUUUUAAGGAGCCAUACAUCCACACAGAAAAUACCAGCAAAAAACAAAAACAAAAACAAAAAAACAAAAAGAAAACCACGAAAACCAAAACAUCCCUAGGACUACAUUCAUUUCCUCUUUACGUACAGUUAGGAUUCUAGCUAUGAUGCACUGGGUGCCAUGUAACCCAUUCUCUUUCUCUCUCCCUUACUUUUUACUUUGGCUUAUUAAAAAGAUUACACACGGUCUGGAACGGGCCAGCUGACAGGGACUUACAUCCACUGGAGACGAGCUACUCAUUCUUCCCUUUUGUAGAACGUCCCCUUCUCUGCCUGGCACAUCACUCCGUCUCCGCUUGCUCAUAAUUUCUCCUUAGAACUUACUAUCUGGCCCAGGUAUACCUCAUGACCUUGUUUCAGAUCCAACUUCUGUCACUGGACAAAUUUUUCUUUUCCGGUUCAGUUUCCAGAGGGAAGGGAUAUGAUCGCCUCAGCCGAGCACUUUGCACAGCUUUUUGGGCACAGCCUCGCCGGCCAGGCCCGCAGAGUCUGCUGGCGAGCUGGAGGUGGGACCCCUGGAGCGGGGGACCAUGCCCAGCCAGGACAGGCCAGGGUAGACCUACAGACGCAGAACAUGCUGUCCAGGCAACUCUCCUUACUGACGUGUGCUUUUUUACCUUGUACUUUUGUUUGUCUUUUUAUAGUACAUAGGUUUAUGAUAUCAACCACUAAGCCUUUUCCAGAACGUCCAUUUUUUUUUUUAAAAUGAAUUAGUAUAUUGAUUUAGAAACCUUUUUGAGCAAACACUAAAUCAGACUUAUAAACUGGUUCUCUUUCUAAAACAUUAAAAUUAAAAUCUCGUCAACUGAGAGGUUUUCUUCAAGAGUCUGAUGAAUGGCGGUUUUAUUGUGACAAAAGGCCACUCCAACGUGAUCCACAAGUGAUGGAGUAUUGUGUUUGUCAGUGUUCGCGACCAAAGUGUUCAGGGGACUGUGUGGCUUCCGGUUUCCAAAGUGGGAUCUUGUAAGUCCUGAGUGACAGGGUGGAUGUGUUCAUAGACCGGAGUCAGCGCCGACGGGUUCUCAAGAGUCGCUUGUUAAACUCUCAUGCAUUUUGUUAAUUUGGCUUGUUAUACUCGGCCAUUAUUUAGGUCAACUCGUAACUAGAUAACUUAUAUUAAAAACAAAGGUGGGGCACCUAGGUGGAUCAGUCAGUUAAGCGUCUGGCUCUCGAUUUCGGCUCAGGUCAUGAUCUCCUGGUUCAUGGGUUUGAGACCCGUGUUGGGCUCUGUGCGGACAUCAGGGAUCCUGCUUGGGAUCCUCUCCCUCCCUCUCUCUCUGCCCCUCCCCUGCUUGUGCUCUCUCUCUCUCUCUCUCUCUCUCAAAAUAAAUACAUAAACUUAAAAAAAAAAAAAACCCAAAGGAAAAAUAUAUUCAAGAUCUUUUUUUUUUUUUUUUUUUUAGUUUAUGACAUUUUACCCUUAUCUCUGCUUCUGAGGUUACCGACGUGCAUUGUGUCCGUGUGGUUUAAAUCCUCUAGAACUGUGUGCUCCUGCACGUUCAGUGACGCCACGCUGACAUCCCGAAAUCCCAGACAGUGAAAGUAUUUACGUCGCGGAAUAAACUCAUGCUGCAAAUCAGCCCUUCCCCACUGAUGCCCCCUUCCUGGAGAGCCAGUUGUUAAACACUUAACCAACACCUCACCGGACAUCUGUUUUAUGAAUUGAAAGUAAGACUUUCAAAUUUGCAAUUUUUUGGAGUUAUAAAAAAAAUAUUUUAGGGGCGCCUGGGUGGCUCCGUUACGUAAGUGUCCGACUCUUGACUUCGGCUCAGGUCACGAUCUCAUGGAUUGUGAGAUCGAGCCCCAGGUCAGGAUCUGUACUAGUGCAGAGUCCUGCUUGGGAUUGUCUCUCUCCCUCUCUCUCUGCCCCUUCCCCCAACUGUCUCUGAAACAAAUAAACCUAAAAAGUAUGAAAAAAAAUACUUUAAAAAGGGAACAUUGCUCUAACCCUGACUUACUUACCAAUCCAUUAAAUUUACUCACCAAUAACACCAGCAUCCUUGUAUAUCACCUCUUCCCUUGAAAAGUCCUACCAUAGAAAAAUCUCAGAAUGCAUUAUUUUAGGGAAGGGGAGGUGGUUAAAGGAAGCUUAUUCACAUGAACCCAUACACAGGCACCUGUACAAAAUGCCCAACCAGGAAUAGGGGUACCAUCACCCAAUGAUGGAAUUUAAGCUUCUUGAAACAAUUACAACGUACAUUUAAAUUCAGGUGUUUUACUGUCCCCACCGCUACCCAUGUUCGUGAAUACCAAUGAAAAAGUAUACUUUCUACUCCGCAGUUUUGACUCAUGAUGACCUCAUUAGCCACCAAACAAAUUAAUCCUAAUUAUAACCUUUUGAAACAUUACUGCAUUAAUGGAAUGUGGAAGAAGAUUACUGACUGAAUCUCUUAUUAAUGUGUUUUGUCCCUCACGAGAUUGUCGGAGUGGUUGAAUGUUUCAACUGUUCUUACAAAACAUAUGGACAGAGUGACGACAAAUAGAAAAAAUAUAUAACCUAAUCACACUUGGAAAACAUACGUACAGGGGGAGGGAGUAGGGAGCUUUGUAGGUCUGGCAAACCGGAAGUGGGGGGGGUCUGCCAUUAGUCGAUUUGUGUGAUGUGCUAAGGAGCUUCCCAGGAAGGUCCCAUCCGAAUGGAAAAGAGAACCAAGCACAAACUCAGUCAGGAAGAGAGCCAGGGAGAGGUGAUUAUGAAUACAUCAGAGCGUCUGUCACUUGGAUGAGCUCCUGGCCUUGUCCCCCAGCCUAUGUCUGAGUCGUGAGGUGAGCUGGGGUAAUAUAAGUAAAAAUGAUAGAGCCGCUCAGGAGAUCCAUUCUGAGAUUUUAGAGCACAUCCGUUAUUGCUCUGGGAACCCUCUAGUGCAACAGAAGGCUAAAGAGAAGAAACAUGCACCUCUCCUUUUGCAACAGGAUUCUGAACAGCUGUGAUAUUUCAUGGGUCCUUGGCCACUGGUGGUGCAGGAGCAGUGGGGGCAGGGGCCUGCCAAAGAAGCAGCUGGGCCCAGCAGAGGCUACUGUCCCUUUGGAAAGGUGAUUGGGAUGGGUAGAUGCAUCGAUCACUAGUGAAAGGGGUAGAGGUAGACAUCGCAAGUGGUCCACACACCAAGCGCAGGACACAGGGAGUGAUAUCAAAAGAACAGAAACAAAGGUGAUGCAUGGUAACUAACUUGACUUUCUCUUUGGAUUCACUGGGUGUGCUAGGGAAGGAUCGCUGAGAAAUCUGGGGGAAGGGGAAGAACUCGCAGAGGCCUACAGUUUUGCAUUAGUGGGUGGUGACGAGAACUCAUAAAAAAGAGUUGCAUCUUUGCCUGUUGGAAGAUUCCUGGUGCGGAUAUGACUCACAAAGAACCCAGGGCACAUUCUCACCCCAACUGCCAAUGCCAGUCAACUGAUGCCAUGGAGAUAGAUGGAUACUGGUGGUCCCAGGUGGUGCUCCUCAUUGGGUUACCUCCCCAAGCAAGAGGAAAGCCAUUUUGCUAACUUCAGGGAAGUUUCCUGAGGCACGUGAAAAUACUCACCAUGCAACUUGCGGUGCCCUGAGAAUGCCCACUGUCUUCAUUGAGGCACCAGCAAGAGGUCCGUUUCAUUGGAGCAUUUGGAAAGCACCUUGAGCACUUGAAGCACGAGCCACCUGGACGCCUUGCGCGAUAAGCUCUAUGAAGACACAGGGCUGGUCUGUGUUCUCUCUGUGAAGCGCAAAGACUGUUGGAAGGGCAGAGACAAAUGAAAAAUCUAGGCUGGCUCCCAGAGGAUGUAAUUAGGAUGGAGAGCUGAACCACUCCUACCAACACCUGUCAGGGCAGCACAAACAGUGUCUUUGUGCAAAUUAGAAAAAAGCAGCCUCUCUGGGUAGCCAAGUGGCUGGGAGACCUUUCUCGGCUGACGAGCCCUCACGGGGGCACAGCCUGGCAAACAGGGAACAGACCCCCCGGUCCCUCAGCGGCCACGCACAAGUACACUACCAUCUGGGGCAGCGCACCCAACGUAACGUGCCAGGAGGGGGGGUUCACUGAACGCACCCCACGUUAAGAACCAGGAGUAAGCUAGAGGAUGUGCUCUUGGAGGUACGAGCCAGAGGCUUUGCUUGACCUGAAACACGCAGAAUGUGCGGCUAGUGGAGUAGCCUGGGAACUGGUUGCCCCAUCUGGCCAGACAGUACGUGCAUAGCACCGCUCCACAGCCCCAAACAGCUGCCCGUCGUCAAGGACACAAAAGGCCAGAAAAGUAACAUUUUAAAACCCAGAAAGUGCCAAAGCCAUACCUGGAAAGAAAUCAUCGCAGGCCCGGAACGGGUCCUGGAACUGACAGAGGUCAUCUUCUCACAAGAGAGGCUAAGAAGUCCUCCAGCGCCCUGGCUGCCCCAAGUGCCCAGGGGCCCCGGCGAGGGCUGCCUCGCGCAUUGCUGGCCUCCACUGCAACAGUGACCCCGGAGGUGAGUCCCGAAGGACAAGGAGACUUUGACAGAGAGGGCACAGACACGUAGGGAGGUAGCAAAUCGAGAGAACAUUACGUCCACUAUCGGGGCCUCAGCCACGCCUGGGCAGAUGGGGAAAUGAGAAAGAAGAAGCUUAUGGAACUUGUAUUUGCAGGACCCCGAAGACCAAGAUAUAUUUAGGGGAACAGAGAGCUCGACACCAAGCGCGCAGCUUGUUAAAGGAGAGGGAUCCUUCUGCGAGCAGAGUGGUGAUUCCCGUUGCAUUUUGUCUCCUGGUUAGAACCCCAUGAACCUGGGCAUGGGUCCAACUGUGGGGAAGGGGUAGGGAGUGCUGGGGGAGGGAGGUGGGAGGCACCAUCAAAUAGAACCUGCAAGGACUGACACUGAGCUGUAAGACAGUGGUCACAAGUAGCCACACGUUUCAGCCCCUAGGAUGGUAUCACAAGAGGGGCAUGCUUUGCCCUACUCUGUAGAAAUCCCUUGUGGUUUGGGACCCUCAGGGGCUGGGGGAGGUGCAGGGUUUCGGUGCCUUCUGAAGGUGCUGGUGCUGUCCCGAGGCAGUGAAAGAAGCCAUACCCAGCAGAGGGGACCCCAGGCCUGGAGACAUCGUGGGGUCAGCAGAUGACAGUGCCCCUAGAAGCAAUAUGACUGAAGGAGAAGGAUGGAGACAGAGCCACAUGGGGAGGGACGGAUCCCAGUAUGAUCAUAUGCGACCUGCCCCUGGGGACCUAAAGGUGACUGGGGGGAAACGUGGGGACUUCUGUAGAGGCCUGGGGUCCAGCCAGCCUUCACAGACCACCGCAAGAGCUAGCAAAGCCCGACUGCACAGGGAGGACGCACAGGUAUCCUGACAGUUGGGAGAACAGGUAAGAGCCAAGAUUACAUCCGUAAUCCAAAAUGAUUUUCAGUAUCCUACAAGUGCUUCAUUGCCUUUCCGAACCCAAACUGUGAAAUGUAAAAACAUCCAGAAGGCUCCCACAAAAGCGCACUGCUCCUCGCCUGUGACGCUCGGGCCUUGCCCCUCACCAGCCUUAUCUGUCCCCGGAACACGCCAAGCUUGCUCUCACCCGUGGGCCUGUACACUUGCUCUUCCCUCUCUCUGGAAUAUUCUCCCUCCAAGCUUUGCAGAGUGGGCUCCUUCUUGUCAUUCAGAUCUCAGCCUAAAUGCCAUUUCCUCAGAGAGGCUUUUGUCUGACUGUACAAUUUUUUAGCCCAUCUUUCCACCCACAGCUACUCCCGCACAUUAUGUGGUUUUAUGGUUUUAAUGACACUUAUCAUUAGCUGAAAUUAUCUUGUUUGAUUUUUUUUUUUAAGUUACUUAUCUAUCGCCUGUCUAUCUCCAACAAAAUGUUAAGUACCAAAAAAUCCAGGGCAUUUGUCUGUCUUAUUCCCAGCUGUAUUCCCUGGCACGUUACCGCCUGGCACGUACAGUGUGCUCUUUAAGAAUUAGUGGAAUCAAUUAAUUUUAAACAUUCAUUUUCAAUUUCCCUGCAAUUGGGGGAAAUACUCACCAUAGGUCCACAUAAAAAAAAAAAAAAAAAAAAAAGAAUGAUGUCUCUAGACCCUUUAUCUCAUCCAUUUUCCAGGUAAAUGAGAACAAGAAUUUCUGCCUCAAAUUUAGCCUGGAACUGUGAUUUGUUUAUGUGUGCUGACAGAUCACUUUCAAAUCCACGUCUCUGACAUCUUUGUACACUAACCCUUUGCACACAUCAGUACGUUAACAUUCAUUUUGCCAGAACAUCAGGUGUCUCCACUCUUCUGACCGUGCCUUCUCUAACCCGGUGCCGUUAAAACAACACGUCGCUAAUGAGAAUUUGCGAUCUAUCAGCAACGUGUAGGACAACCUUUUACCCCAAUGGCGACACCAACAUCCUCCGCCUGCUUUGUGGCAAUUCUGAUCCUCAAGAUUCUGAUCCUGCUUUAAAAAUAUUUGUAGCCAGAGACUGUGUUUGGAAGAGAAUCCAGGUCCCUCCCUGUGUUCUAGUAACUUUGCAUACCCACGGGGAUUAUGUCUAAUGUUUUCCAAGUCCUUUUAGGUGACUGAUGUGACACCAAAUGAGCUUCGAAGACACACUGCUGAAUCAUCUUCAUUGGAAAGUUUUAAGAAUAGAACAGGUAACUGCCUAUUGCUAGAUGAGAUGUCACAGCACUCUGAAGCUAGGGAUAAACCAAUACACCCCUUGAGAUUUGCUCUAGGAAGGUGAUUUUUCUACCUUUGGAUAAUAAUUAGUCCUCUAAAACUGGCAAGUUUUUUUUUUAAGUGUAUUUAUUAUUUUUUUGAUGUUUGUUUAUUUUUGAGAGAGAGAGACAAGGAAAGAGUGAGUAGGGGAGAGGCAGAGAGAGAGGGAGACACAGAAUCCGAAGCAGGUUCCAGGCUCUCAGCUGUCAGCACAGAACCCAACACGGGGCUCGAACCCACCAGCUGUGAGAUCAUGAACGGAGCCAAAGUCAGACACCCAACCGACUAAGCCACCCAGGUGCCCCCUUUUUAAGUUUAUUUAUCUUGAGAGAGAGAAAAAGAAAGUGGGAGAGAGACAGAGAGGGAGAGAGAGAAUCCCAAGCAGGCUCUGGGCUGUCAGCACAGAGCCCAACAAGGACUUGAUCUCAUGAACCAUGAGAUCGUGACCUGAGCUGAAAUUAAGAGUUGGACGCUUAAUUGGUGUCUGAGCUACCAGGCGCCCCUAAAAUUGUCAAGUUUUGCUCUUAACAAACAAAAUUAUCUUGAAAAAAACUUUAUUAAUCAAUAUUGUGGAAUGCAUAUAUAUUAUAUAUGUAUUAUAUAUUAUAUAUAUUUUUUUAAAUAUUUGUCUAUAUUAUAUACAUGUUAUGUAUUAUAUGUAAGAUACAUUAUUUACAUUUCUAUACAUGACAUAUGUUAUAUAUAUAAUAUGCAUUAUAUACAUUUAUGUUUAUAUAUGUUUUCCGCCAGUUAGGAAUACCAACAGAGUAUUGAAAUGAUGUGGGGUUUUUUUUUGUUUUUUGUUUUUUGUUUUUUUGAAGGGAUGUUUAAGACCAAAAAAGACCAGUGACUUUUGGGGAUAUUUCCUGAUGUGUUUGGCAUUUUUUAAAUUUUUGUUGUUGUUCUUUUUUCAUGUAAAUCAUCCCCUAGUAACUAGCAUGGGGUAUUUCUGAAAUUCAUUUACUGCCAUUUUGCUGUAUUGUCCAACAGAUUGUUUCUAGUACCUUCUGAUGUGUGGCAGCUGUGUUUUAACAAUUCCAAGUGUACCAUAUGAAAGUAAUCAAAGACAUUAACACACUCGUGUCUGCAGCUCUGGAGGUAUUUCCUGAAUGUGGUACUUGCUGGGCCAUGCAAAGUUGUCCGUAAAUUACUUUUUUUUUUCUCGUUUGUAUGCUGAUGUCUUCUCGAAAUAUAUGUAGAAUCAUCACAUGUUUGUGUCUGUGGAUCCCUGUCUUCAUGGACACAGCUCUCUACAAAGGGCAAGCAUACCAAAAUCUGCAUUCAAGUGCCAUUUUUACAGAGCAUAGAAUACCUGACACAUUAAUCUGUGCAAAGUGAUCUCUCAGAUUCCCAAAGGAGGAAAUAGUUAAAGUUUAGUGUUUUCUCUGAUAUAGUGUACCCUGGGUAGAGUAGUAAUCGCUAACGGCAUAACAUCCUAAUGCACGUGGUUAUUGGGAAAUGUUUCACAAACAGUAUUUUAUUAUAGUGAGAUUGCACUGUACUUAAAGUAAAUACCCCUGGAUCCCCUCCAAAGCCGAAAGAAUGUAGUUAGGUUACCGAAUCUGCUCAUUCAGCAAUUGUGUCAUGAUAAAUUAGGAAUUUGGAGGGGGGAAAAAAGUUCUUUGUUUAUCAUAAAAGGUGUAGAGAGGGAGAGUAACCUGAAGAAGGUACACUUUCAGAAUACCGUUUGUCAGGAAAAUGAUGUGUUGUGCAAUCUCGAAAGAAGGUAUAAAAAUAUGCACAUUGUAUUACCUCCCUGACUGUCAAGUCACGUAUAUCAUGCAAGCUAGGUAUCCGAGGGUGAAGCUUAAAAAGGAAGUUUCCACGUGUGGCACAUGGAGUCCUCAGUCAUAUUUCAAGACUUAAAUCUAGCUUUCCACACAUACAAUUUUACAGCACUUUUGAGAACUUUAUCAAAAAAACGUAAACGCUUUCAUUCGCCGGCUAUAGAUUCCGUAUUUCAGUGGACAUACAUGUUAUAGAUAGAGUAUAGAUCUGGAGAGAGAUUUAGAGAGAACGCCCAGUCCCAGCUUCGCUUUCCUCGCUAGAGGAAGUAUGCUUUCCAAACACGCUUUACAUAAGGGUUCUAGGACUCUGUGGUAGAAUCCAAGAGCCUGCGUUUAUUUGACAUUCCAUUUCUCCCCAAUGACCACUACUGACUGAGCCUGGCCCUUGAGGAACUUUCACUCUUAAUUAAAAUAGUGACACCAAAAGCUUUUAAUGAUUCCCCAAAUGCUAUUACAAGGUACAGGGUAAAUGUUAGAGCUGGGGCCCAUCUUUGGGGAAUAACUACAAUUUGGAAGUAACGUUUUCCAUACUGCUUUGUCCAUUGCCUUCCUUUGGCCUUCCCACAGGAGUUCAGUAGGCACUGGGCCACAUCUAACCUUAACUCCUUGCUGAAGGAAACUCUUUGCAGCAUCAAACACCAGAACAGGACAUUUUUCCAAUCAGAAAGAAAAAAAUUGUGAACACGUUCAACUCUGUCUGUCCAAUUCCUGGCUUUCUUCUGGAUUCCAUUGUCUUCCUUACUUUAGAUAAAUAUGGAGGAACCGUGAAGGAAUUGUCCCCUCCCCCAGAGCACCUCGAAAAACUUACACAUUAUCAGUCCUCGGUGGAGUCUGUAUUUAUGGAGUACUUACUGCUGACAAAUGAUGAUACUGAAGAUUUCUUUUUAAUCUAGGCUUAAUCCUCAUCAUUCUGGUUGUGCAUGAAUGUGGUUAGUAGAUCCACAUGGAUUGUGUCUAUUCAUAGACAAAUAGAUGUUGCUUUGAAAAGGAAGCGUUAAGGAUUAUCCCGCAAUACAGAACCCUUGCUGUCUACCUCUUAUUUCUGAACCUCGAACUUGCCUGUUGUUCUCAGGCAAAGACAAUUAGAAACAGUUUCUGAAAAAUUACCAUUUGGAUCGGCCGCUUUCAUUUGCCCCACAAAUUCUUUUGAUGAUACUUAGAAUGUGAAGGUACUGUACUGUGCUGGAGAGAUCCACAAAACGUGAAAUCAAGCACCCUUUCCUUCCAUCACUCACUCCCCAGUGGGAGGCCACGUCUGUUAAGGAAAGGACUUCCAGCUAGUAGAGAAGCCAGUGGGCCCUGAGGGGGCCACCUACAAGGAGGAACUUGUAUAGCUGGCUUAGAAAUGAAGAGGUUGAUUGCUUUGGCUGAAGAUUAAUCUGCCUGGAGAAAUAAAGAGAGAGAGGUAGGAGAGGGACUAGGAAUAGAGGUGAGGCUAUAGGACUUAGAAUGUCAGGCUUAACAUUUGGCUGUUACAUCCUAAGCAAUGGAGGGCCGCUAGGCGCUUUGCAAGGACAGGGAGCUUUGUGAUCAAAUAUGUCUCUUUCAUAUUUACUGCUGAGGAGGUCUUCGGUGUAGAAACUCAGAAACUAUUCAGGAGACUUUUAGCAGCAUCCCUAAUAUCACCUAAAUCUUGUGAGAACGUGGUGGUUUUAAAACUAACAAAAUCAUAGCAGAGGAGGCAGAAAUUACCCUGAAAACCUGUAUUUUCCACAUCAAGAAGCUAUGUGCUGGGGCACCUGGGUGGCUCAGUCAGUUAAACGUCCAACUCUCAAUAUCAGCUCAGGUCUUGAACUCAGGGUCAUGGGUUCAAGCCCUGCACUGGGCUCUGUGCUGGGUGAGAAACCUACUUGAAGAAGGAGAAGAAGGAGAAGGAGAAGAAGGAAAAGAAGAAGAAGAAGAAGGAGGAGGAAGAGGAGGAGGAGGAGGAGAAGAGGAAGGAGAAGGGGAAGAAGAAGGAGGAGGAGGGGGAGGAGGAGGAGGGGGAGAAGGAAGGGGGAGAAGGAAGGAGGAGAAGAAAGAAACAGCAGCAGCUAUGUGCUUAGCCAUGGUUCACCUUAGCACAAUCACAGUGUAGAAGAGGUUUGUGCUGGUGUUUCCCCACCCACCGUACCACAGCCCCCCUGAUCCCUGCAUCUCCAGGCAUUCAUCUCCCAGCCCAGCCCCACCUGGAAAAAGACUAGCUCUCCACCCUCACCUAGCCAAUAGUUAGCUUAAGUAAGGCUGUAAUGGAGGUGAAGGGGCAGGGUAUUCUAUAAAAUUAAUGUCAGAAUAAAUGGAAGACUCCUUCGGGUGUGAUUCGUGAGGAGCAGAUUUUAGUCUUCUUGCCCUUUCCUCCCCUACCAGUGCAAACUCCACCUGAUUGUUUAUCCAUGAAAUUCCUAGGAACCAAAAAUCUUUUAGUGCCACAGUUGGACUGACUAUCACAAAUGGCUGAAAAGGAAGAAAACCUUGAAAUAAAUUUAUAGUAAGAUGUAAUGACCCAUAGUGUAGACUAGUGUAUCCAUCAGGUUCUGGCGGGAAGUAGAUAGCAUGCUCAAAGUAGGAUCAUUCCAUGAGAUUUUAAUAAAUUUAAUAAAGAGACUAUUUACAGAGUUGUAGGGAAGCCAUAAUGGUUAGUACAGCACCCUGACCCAAUAAAAGCACAGCUGUUACCAUUUCUAGGCCCAAGAUAGGAGGGGAGGGAACAGUUACUGAAACCAAAAUGAGAGAGUCCUGCAGAGAGGGGUGUCAUGAGAGGAGCUCAGACCUUCAGGCAAGGGAUACCACUGGCUCAAAGUGACUGCAGAGAGAAAGCCAAGGGAAUAAACAUGACGAUGUCACUUCUGUCACUGCCUUCAUUCAUUCUCCGGGGUUCCGCAUUGGCUGAACUCAACCAGAAAAGGAAGGGCAAGAAAAUCUAUUGAUGAAGUCGUUGUAAGUCAGCUUUUCUGUGCAGAGUCAGGGAGAGAUGAGUGCAGAGAAUAUUUGGAGGGAUGAAUGGCAGACCCAGCACUAGAGGGAGGAAGAAAGAGAAAGUAGAAGUAGCAAGCUUGGUGGGGGGGGGUGGGGGGUAUAGGAGACGUUGGAGAAGGAAGGUCUAAAAUUUACUGUUCCAGAGGAUUGACCUUGUGGUUUAAUACACACACACACACACACACACACACACACAUGCCCCUUUCGAAAAGAAACCCAGUGUUGGGACUUCCUUGCUCUAAAGUUGAAGGGAGACCUUUUCAGGUGCCCCUGACUCCCCAAGAUGACCGCCCUUCUUUCUUCGAGGAAAACAAACUCAUCAAAAUCCAGACACCAAUGGGAUGUUAAAGCAUGCAAGCAGACCACUGUGAGGUAUGUAGACAGUUUUAUUUUAUUAGCCAACUGAGAGCACCCAUGAGGAACAACGAAAGAGCAAAACAUUGCUUCCCUCUUCCCAUGGGAUUACCUUCCAGGGAUACAAAGUCGGCCUCAGAAGGAAACCCAGGUGUUCCUGGAGUGUCUCCAACAUUUCCUUUUCUCUUUUCUACUCCUUUGUCCUUCCUCCAGCCAGGGCUUCUCUUCUCUAGGGCAAAGACUUAGAAAUCUUCAUCCCUGGGUCUAUCCUGGAAGAUACCAUGAAAUUUCUAUUCUGCACCUCUUUAAUUUUCCCUGGGAGUAAGAUCCUUAUGCCUGAAGCAUCUACAGGGGAAACUUUGUCUUGCUAACAACUGGCAACUUUGAAGCACGAUUGUGCUGUAAGAACCUCUUCCCACCUGCACACAUCUCGCCCCCACUAGUUCCCCCCAAAUCUGAAACUUUGUUUUGUCUCACUGACUUUAGGGAAUUAUUUUUUUUAUGAUUUUUAUUGAACAAUGGACUUGUUGAUUAGGUUGGCUUCACAAAAUAUGUUCAUCUUUCUUGUUUAUAACUGAAUUGCCUUUUGGUUUUUAAGCUUUUAUUUGGUUACCUGUAGCUGCAUAAAACUAUACCAAAAUGUGGUGGCUUGAAACACAAAACAAAACAGUGUAUUAUUAACUUUUACAAGCGUAUGAGUUGUCUGGGUGCUUUUCGCUUAGGAUUUCUCGCCUAGGCUCCACUGGGCUGGUCAUCCAAGAUGGCACUCACACAUGGCUGUUGUUGGCUGAGAUGAGCUGGAGACUUUGACUAGAACGCCUGUCUGUGGCAUCUCUAUGUGGCUUCCAUUUCUCACAUCAUGGCAGCUAGGCUCUGUGAGGAAGUUUCUCAGAAUGAGCCUUCCAAGAGACCCAGGGUAGAGGCUGCCAACUUCUUAUAACCUAACGUCAGAAAUCCCACCUCAGACUUGCCCCCAAGAUCACUCAGAUUCAAGGGGAAAGGAAUUAGACUCUCCCACCCACAGGAAGAGAGGAGCAAUCUGCACCUACAAAGAGGCGAGAAACUGAUGAUGGCCACAUUUGGAAUCCAGCACAAAAUUUCAUCUCUUCUUUUGUGUUUUCCUAAUGAAAUCAUGAUCAUUCAUUUGUGCUAUCGUUAUUCAACAGUCUGCUUAAUAUAGUGGAAAAGAGCACUGAAUUCAGAGUAAGAAGGCCAAGCCAACAGGCCCAACCAGUGCCAAAAUGUAUCCAAAGCGGCAGCUGGGCUCUGAGGUGCCUGUGCAUCCUGGGCAGCUCUUGGACUCGGGGGCAUUUCUGUGCCUUCUAAUCCUACUCCAGUGAGCGCAGAGUUAAGAAGAACUAAUCUGUGGUUGUCUCAUCCAUUUUAACAUCUCCCACCCCCUGAGAGAUUUGGGGAGGGGAACUGAGCAGGCAAAUUCACCUGAAGCAUUCACAGUAGAUGGAAUAGGACCAAACAAAAAUGGCUCCUCUUCAACCACAGAAGAGGGAGGAUAAGUAGGUCUCUGGAUGGCCGAUUAGUUCCCCUCUCCUUUCCAAAUGUCGUCAUCUCUAGUGCGCCAACCGAUCACUUUGUGCUAAUCCCAAAGUUGCCAGGUGCCUCCUCCGUGAUCUUGGGUUAGUCACCUUCUAAUUUUAUUUUCUUGUUUUCUUUUUUUUUUUUUUAACAGGAAAUUCCCAUUGGACUUUAAGUGUCUAAAUUAAGAGAUUAGGAGAGAAACUGCCUAUCGGUAUACUUGCAUUAUUUCCAACUUGACUGCAUCCCAUCUUUAACCCUGUCCGUGAACACUUUGGGUUUUAUUUUUAUUAAUUUUGUUUUAUUUUACUUUUUAAUUGAUGCAUAGUUGACCUGCCAUGUUCUGUUAAAUUCAAGCGUACAGCAUAGUGUUGACCAUUCUGUACAUUAUACUGUGCUCACCACAAUAAGUGGACUCACCGUAUAUUAUUACAAUAUUAAUGACUGUUCUCUAUGCUGUGUUUGUCAUCCCCGUGACUUAUUUAUUUUGCAACUGGAAGUUUGUACACCUUAAUACGCUUCACCGAUUUUUGCCCAUCGUCCCAACCCCCUCUCCUCUGGCAACCACCAGUUUGUUCUCUGUAUUUAUGAUUCUGUUUCUGGUUUUGCUUGUUUGCUCAUUUGUUUUGUUUUUUACAAACAAAAACAUGUUAGUGAAAUCAUAUGGUAUUUGUCUUUCUCUAAUUUUCCCAUCUGUAAAAUGAGAGAAUAGGCAUUUCCGAGGUACAAGAAGACCAAGAUGAAUAAGAUAAGUAAAAAUGUCGUGCCCUGGGUACAGGUGAAGUAUUUUCAAGAAUGUUGCCUAAAUCAGGGCAAAGUUUCUCAGUGAGAGGAUGGUCUGUUAAUCUUUCCAGCCCAGUGGACCACAUGGUCUUCUGUCGCAACUGCGCACCUCCGCUGUUGUGGAGUGCAUGUGUGAAACCAACCUUAGACAAAAAAUAGUAACAAACAGGUGUGGCCGGAUUUGGCCAUCUCGCCUUAGUUUGCCGACCUCUGGUCCAAAUUAUGAUUUCACCUGGGAAAAGAAUGGGAGAAAAGUCAGGACAAGUAAUCUUUUAACAAUAUCUUUCGUUUAUACAUACUGUGAUUCAGACACUAGACAAGGUGAAUUAGAAAUGCAAAGAAGUGGGAAAAUACUGUUUGAUACAACCGGUAGAUGCCAGAUUUCCCUCCUGGAAAGAGAAGAACAAGAGAAAAUAUCCCGACAAUGGAGAACAUGGAACCUUGCAGGGAGGAGGUCUGGUGUAUCUGAGAGAGGAAGAGUAACAUUCCAUUGAUUCCAGAUAGGAAUUGAAAUGAGGGGGAGAGCCUAAAUGAUUCUCAAUGGAGCCCUACCCCAUGAACCUCCAUUUCCCUCCCAGGGCUGUUUAACUCCUAAAAUGUUUAGAGCGAGUGGUUGGUUGGCUUGUCUGUUUGAAAAGCCAGUGAAGAGAUUGGGGCCUCCUAUUUGUUUCAUUCAGAGCAGAUCCUCAGUCUCCUUCCAGGAUCUUGGCAUGCAGGUGCAAAGAAAAGCAUAAGAGUAAGUUCUAGACACAUCAAGAAAUCACACGGAGGUCUCUCGACUGCCGCGCCAUGGAAGUGGGGUGCAGAGGGCAGGGUCCCCGGUUGGAGUCUCUGACAGAAAUGUUGAGGGGCGCCCGGGUGGCUCAGUCGGUUAAGCGACUGACUUCGGCUCAGGUCACGAUCUCGCAAUUUGUGAGUUUGAGCCCCGCGUCGGGCUCUGUGCUGACAGCUCAGCACCUGGAGCCUACCUCAGAUUCUAUGUCUCCCCCUGUCUCUACCCCUCCCCUGCUCACACUCUGUGUCUCUCUCUCUCUCUCGAUAAUAAAUAAACGUUAAAAAAUUAAAAAAAAAAUGUUGAGUAUAGCAUGAUGUAAAUAACAAUGAUUAUAGCGCUCUUAUAAAAUAUGUCAAAAACUUUCUAUUAAAAUAUGGCAAUUAAAGUUUUUUAAAGAUCACUAACUAUCCCAUUCCACUGAUUACAACAGUAAUCGACGUAAGCAACUGGCAAUUUUACACAGUUUUUAACGGAGAUUUAUCCAAAUUGUGCCUUUCUGGAAUGAAACUUUUUUCUAAGUGAACAUUUCUUUUUGGGAAGAGGUUUCUCAUACUUCAUAUUCUCUGCAGUCACAUUUCCAAAUGGCCCAUUGCCAAUUUUGGUUUGGAAAAAAAGAAAAUUAGGAAUUAGCAAUUAACCCUGGGCAUUUGAAGAAAGAACGUUUGUAAUAAUAAAAGACUCCAGAUAACCCUUCCAUAGAAUAGUAACACAUAAAUGUGUGCGUUCACUUCUCUGGAAAUGAAUGAUGCUAAGAAUGUCAUGGCUGGAUAUGUGCUCACAUAUUCUGCCAUAUUCUUGGCACAUUGUAUUUGAUUCUUGACUGUAAGAUUGGAGCGAGCCUCUGCUAAUGAUGGCUGAAGAAAACAUUUCAGAAUGUCUUUAUUUUACAGGCAAGCCACUGUGAUUGAGAAGAAGAACUUCUAACCAAGAAAUGGGUGAACUGAAUUGGAGUUUGAAAUCUGCUACUUCUGAACUCUGUAUCUGAAGUUACUUCUAGAGAUCUAAGAGCAUCCGUAUCAUCUGCAAAUGGUAAUAAUAAUAUCCCUUCAUACAUCACCUGAUUGUUGUGCAAAUCAAGGGAGAAAAGUAGGCAGAAAAACCUUUGCAAAUCAAUGUAGAAAAAGAAGUUCUUUUACUCUGAUGUUUCAGAUUAUACUGCAACUAAUUGUUAGGUAUUUAAAAAAUAUUUUCAGGUUUCACUUUGUAGGAUUCAAGCAUGAAUUUACUUAGAAUAUGUAUAUUAGCAAUAUAUCGCCAGUACCAUGGACUCUUAAACAACUUGAGUUUGAACUCUGGGGGCACCACUGAUACACAGAUUUUCUUUUGAUAAAUACAGUACCAUAAACGUAUUUUCUCUUCCUUAUGAUUUUCUUAAUAACAUUCUCUUUUAUCUACCUUGCUUUAUUGUAAGAAUACAGUAUAUAAUAUAUAUAACACAAAAAAUAUGUAUUAAUUGGUGGUGUAUGUUAUCAUUAAGGCUUCCAGAAAAUAGCAGGCUAUUAGUAAUUAACUUUUUGGGGGGGAGAGGUCAGAAAGUUACACAUGGAUUAUUUUUUAAAUGUUUAUUUAUUUUGAGAAAGAGAGAAAGAGGAGGGUGAACAGGUAGGUAGAGAGAGAUGGAGAGAGAGAAAUCCCACGCAGGGUCCAUGCUGUCACCACAGAGCCCGAUGUGGGGCUCGAUCUCACCACCUGUGAAAUCAUGACCUGAGCCAAAAUCAAGAGUCAGUCGUUUAACCGACUGAGUCAUCCAGGUGCCCCUUCACGUGGAUUUUUGACUGACGGUGUCAGUGCCCCUGACCUCUACCUUUGUCUGAGUGUCAACUGUAUAUGUUAAGCAAAAUAUUCUUUGCCUCCACUUUCUUCUCCCAACAUCACCACGGUUGGCAAAUUGAUAAUGAAUAGGAUGAAAGUCAUUGGCAAGCUGUGCAUUGUAUGGUCAACAGUACUGGUGGCCUCCCCAAGAGCCAUCUACCCAUUCUCCCUUCCCUGUUAACAGAGUCCAGGUUUUAUUCAUAUAUCCAUAUAGAGAUCCACAUUGUUAGCCCCCAUUUUGAGGAUAAAUACUGAGUUUCAAAGCCAAUCAUGGUAACCUCCUUCCUUUUGCCAGUAGCUGAUUAAGGGAUGGACAUGUAGCCCAAUUAGGUUGGUUGAAUGCAUGAUAAUGGGCACUUACUGAACACUUACUAUAUGCCAGGCACUUUUCCCAGUACUUUAUGUAUAUUAAUACUAAUCCUUACACCAACCUUAUGAAGUAGGUUGUAUGACUAUCUAAGUUUUGCAGCUGAGGAAAUUCAGAGCUAGAGACACUAAAAAUACUUGUCCUAGGAAGUGUGUGGAGUAGAGCUAGAUUACAGACCCAGGGUGUGCAGCUUAUUAUCCACACUCAUUGCCACUAUGCAGUAGUAAGGUGGGAGUCUUCUGAGGGCUUUUGGACAAGGUCUCCUCACUAACAAAAAAGAAUCAAACAGGAUAUGGCCUCUUUCUUCUGCUGGGUGUCUGAUGAUCGUGUGUGAUGCCUGGAAUAAUGGCAGCCAUCUUGUGACAAUGAGGGGCACUGAAGCUGAUACACUGAGGAUAGUGUAGUGAAAAGAUUGAGAAACCCUGGGUCUUUGACAUUGUGUUGAAACACUAACUUCCCAAACUAUGAAACUUACCUACUUCAGCCCUUCUUAUCAGAUGAAAUACUAUAUUUUCAUCUUUGUUUGAACAAUUUUGGAGUCACCUGAUACUCACAGCUGAACACAUCCCAGCUGAACUAACACAGACAUGCUGUUAAGUAUGGUACGUCCAACCAAAGUAAUAGGCUUCCUUCUGAAGUAGCAAUUUACUAUCACUAGAAAUAUGUUAAGGAUGCUAAAGGGGGAUUAUAAUUUCGGGAGAGUACAUUAGACAAAAUGAUCCAAGAUGCCUUCUAAUUCUAGGUUGCUGAUUUCACUGAAAUGAUGGUUUUCUCUAUCCAACAGGAUCAUUACGAUGGAAGGUGUUAAAAUACAAUUGAACAGUCUUCUGGAGAAAAAACAAAUAUUUGGAAGAUAAAGGAAGAAAAGAUAAAUGAGCGGAAAUGUAGGCAGGUCCUGUGGUUCAGUCAAGGAACUGAAACCAAAAAUAACUCGGAGACCCAGGAUAAGCCAAACUGAAUUUGGGGACUUGAAUCCUCAGUCCCACCAGGUAAGCAAAACUCUUAGCCUCAACAUCCAUUUGGGGACUUGAUUCCUCAGUCCCAUCAAGUAAGCAAAACUCUUAGCCUCAACAUCAACUACCUGCGUACUUCUCUUUUCCCUUUACUUCCAGUUUCUAGGAGAUCACAAGGCCUCCUUCCUAAUUUCUCUCAAAAUCAGUUACUUGGCUUCUCUCAAAAUCAGCAGGGACUCCUCAAGCAGUGGCUACUCACUUCUCCACUUGGAAAUCUUACAGCAUGUUCAGUGCUUGACCGGUCCAAUCUCUUCGUGGUGUUUAGCCUCAACUUUCAGCUCUUGCUUCACCUUUCGUUGUCCCUCUCUGAGUAACCACACUGUCUCCCACUGAUGCACACCCCAUUCUAUUUCACCAGCCCAGAGCUCUCUCCCAACCUCUAGACCCCUGUUGACAGCUCCAUCCUGGAUGGCUUCUCUACACUCUGGGAAAACAGCAGUCAUCUUGGCUCCCCUGUCUCUCUCUGCCUCUACCUCCCUUGCAUCUCUUGUUGGUUUAAACCCUAAAACAUGUUUUCCAUCUGUCCCUGAUCCGUUUCCAUUGUCCAACGCCAGAUCUUCAUCUCUCUUCUGGGCUCCCAAGUGGCCCACCCUCAAAUUCCACGCUGGCCACCAGCGUGGUAAGUCCGAAAACAAGUCAGUUGAUGCUUUUUCACUUUUUUACCUGGGAUGAUUCCUCAUUGGUUUGAAUGGUGAUUGCCUUCAGAAUAACAUCCAUUUUUCUUUGGCUGUUUCUCCAACUGGCCCCAUCCUACCUGCCAGCCUCAGCUCCAGCUAUUCCCUCCACGCACUCUGUGGUUUUCCUAUAUGAAAUUCCUUCCUUUUCUAUCUCUGUGCUGUGAAUGGGUGCUGGUUCUUUGGCUGAAUUGUUCCCAUCUACCCUUGCAUGGCCUGGCAAACUCAUCCUAUCUCAAGGCACAGUUCAGAUUGUGUCUUUUCCCUUUAUCUUGCCCACCACCAGGCAGACUUUUAGCUCCCCAUCUGUUUCUAUAAACAUGCCUCCAUUCAAGCAUGCAUUGGGAAAGCAGGAGCUGUCUGGAUAAGGCAAUGUAUCACCACCCCCAGCUCCAUAGAAAUGCCCAAGUCCUGAGGAUCUAACCACAGCUGAGCUAAUGUGUCCCUUUCUGGACAUGUUUUGGUUUGAGACCAGAGAGAACUAGCACUGAAUCUCUCUGACAUUCAGUCAGGGAGGAAAACUAUUAUCCUACACAAGAACAAACUCAGCCUUAACCUCAGACUUCUGUAAAGGGGAGAAUCAGUGGAGCAACUGUCUAAAGAUUUUUAUAGGAAGAAAUUGUAACCAAUAAUUUUCACCUAAACCGUUUUCAGAAAUCUCAGAAAUCUAAGGACUCAAAAUAAAAUGCCACCCAUAUGUUUGUCUUGAACAAUUCAAGAGAGGGAGCAAAGCUAGAAGAACUUGAGACUUGAAAGGUUGAGUGAUUAGGGACUAAUGGUAAUCUGGGAUUAUUAUUUUUAAUCAAAAAUAAACACAAAUAUCAAAUUCGUUUUGAUAGAGAAGAUAAAUAAAAUAAUGAUUCAAUAAUAUUGAUCUGGGUAUAAAAUCACAGAAGACAAAACAAAGGUAUUCCCAUUAAACAUUAUGAUUAAGCCUUUUUUGAAGUUCUGGCCAAUGCAGUAAGUAAGGUAGGACAAUAAAUGGAGUAAAAAUGAGAAAAUUAUUAUCAUGAUCCUGAGAUGAUAUUAUUUACGUGAAAAACUCAAAAGAAUCAUUUGAUAAUAACAAGUUUCAGUGAGCUUAUUAUAUGUGAAAAGAAUGUGCAUGUGAUAUAUUCAAACUUCAGGAGCUCUUUCUAUGUAUCAGCAGUAAUUAAUUAGAAAAUAUAAUGGGGAAAUCAACUAUAGUAGUUAUGAUGCUUUGGGGUACAAGUUGAUGAAGAGAUAGAUUUUUUUCUUAGGUAUUAUAUGUAUUUUUUGCUUACUCUUGUUAAUGAUAUUUUAGUAACUCUUACUUGGGGAAGAAUGCUCUUUAGUUAAGAACUGCCCCAAGGAAAAAAAUAUUCCCAGAAGACUUUAAAAAUUUUUCAGGAGCAUAAUGACUGUAAUAAAUGGACAAACAGCGACAAGAAGACAACAUUAAAGAAAUGUCAUCGACUCCCCCCAAAAUCCUUAGACUUAAUGAAAUCCAAUCAAUCUCAAUAUAUUUUUUCUUGAAACUUAACAAUCGGAGGCUCACAUGAAAUCAAAACAACAAACACAAAUAAAAAUCUGAGAGAUUACAGUAAUGAGAGGGGCUUUGCAUUAAGAUGUCAGAGUGUGUUACAAAUCCACAAUAAUCUAAAUAAUCUGGCACUGACGUUAUUUUCUAACCCUGAUUUUUGUUUUCUCUUCUUUGCCUACUGUAAUCCUUACCAACUCAAAAUCCUCCUUUUCUAUGAAACUUCUUUGGACCACCCAAUCUGGAAGUCUUUUCCCACAAGAUGCCCUUUUCUUUGGCCAUUGAUCCGUACUCUUGGCUACCUAACAAAAAUUUUACAUGCCUUUUCUUCCCUGCAGAAGAUGCUUACACAUCUUUAAUAUGUUUAUACCUACAAUAUAAAAACAGUUGAUUUCAGUAUCAUCAUUGACAGACGGCAGUGUGAGAUAUAAUAACAUCAUGAUGCCAAGGCUUCAAAGUUAGCUCUGAGGGACCAUGAAUAGCAGCACCUGGGUGCUUAGAAAUGCAGAAUUGCAGGCUUCAUCCCAGGUACACAAAAUCAGAAGCUGCAUUUUAACAUGAUCCUCAGGUGAUUUGUGUGCACAUUAAAUUUUGAGAAGCACUGCCCUAAAGAAUUUCAUGGAAUAAAAAUAUUUCAUAGCACUCCUGAAGCAAUCAGACAUAGUCAGAUAUCUUCCUGUGCAGCAAACGAAUAGAAUUAUUCAAAUCUUGUUUCCCUGAUAGGUAAAAAUUUAGCGAUACCAAAAGAACACUAAAGAAAUGUGGGUUCAGGGCAUGGGAUAAAUCGAAUGAUAAAAGCAGACUGAGGGGGUGCAUGCAUGGGGAAUGUAAAGGCAGUGGUUUGUGAUUUGGAAGUGAUUUGGUACCUGAUUACUUCCACUGGGCUUUCUAAUUUCUUCCUUCUAACCCUCGUCUCCCUACGAUGACAUUAUUCUUUAUCGUUGCUCUACACUUUAACAUGGGCUGCCGUAAUCUCACCUCCAACUCACUAUCUUCUAAUAAAAACAGUCCUCACUCAUGAGUCCCUCCCCACCACAAGCCAGAGCCCCCAGAGCAUCCACUAGAAUGUAAGUUCCCUAGCAGCACAGAAUGGGGCUGUCUGGCUUACUUGCUGUAUCUGCAGGGAACAGAAUAGCAUCAAGUACCUAGUAGGCAUUCAACAAUUGAAUAGUCAACAGAUGAAGCAAACAAUUUGACAACUUUUAUUAUACCAGGUCCUGCCAGGGAAUAAUCUCUGGAUUGAUUUGCAUUCAGUCCCCACAUCUCCUUGGAACAGUGCUUAUUUUACCCUGUAAAUUCCUUUAAGUCUGUUUUCGUUGCAUCACUACCAACACCGCCUCGUACCUGUGCUGCCAUAGUAAAAUCUGAGAUACUCUCCUUUCUCUGGUUCCCUGAGUGAGCUCCAACUAACUUUCUAUAGUCCGCUCUCAUCCAAAGUAUUACAUCCAAACCCUUUACCCUGACUCUGAAUUCUUUAGAGUCCAAACCUAAGCUUCCUUUCCAGCCUUGUGUCAUGGCUUCCCAAAGGGAAUCUUCCUUUCUAGCCAAGGUGAUCGACUCAUGUCUCUUUACUAUGCUUUCUCUGCUGGAAUUUAUUUCCCCAAAGUAAAAUUGUUUUUCCCUAUCAUAUUUGCCUAUCGAAACCUACCCAUUCCUUGAGACUUGGCUCAUCCACUUUCUCAAGGAAACAUGGUAGCCAAGCACUCUAAUCUGGCAGAAUUCAUCACUGAUUCAUUCCAGGAAUACCCAAUAGUUUCUCCUCUGAAUUCUCCUUUCAGUCAUGAUCUAUAAUGCCCAUCACUUACUAUGCAUGCUCCUUUGAACAUAUAUCCUUCUACAUAUGUGUUGUACAUAUAGGUAAACAAAGAGUUCAAGACAGGUGGCCUGAGAUUGAAACAUCUGCCACAUAAUAAUGGAGUAACAUUAAGCAAUUUUCUUCCCUUCUCUGGGUCCCAGUGUCUUUAUCUGUAAAAAAGUACCUACCUUAGAGGAGGAUUAUAAUUAAAAUAAAUCACAUAAUUUGAAAAGCUCUUAGCAGGGUUCUGGAACAUAAAGAGUACCCAAAAAUGUCGGUAUUCCUUCCCCAGAGCAUCUCACUUACAGUUGGUGCUACUUUAUAUUCUUAUGUAUUUCAGUACAUCAAAAUAGCUAUUUAUUCAUUGAUGAAUUGAUAAUAUUAGUGCUGGCUAUCAAUACAGACUUUCCACUGAAGAAUUUUAGGAACAAAAUUUCCUAUUCCUUUUGGAUCAGGGAGUAGACAUCCCUCUCUAAAGGAAUGGUAUUUGGGGGAAUAGAUGAAAAAGAAAGAUACUAUGAUACUAUGAUUAGAAUCCCAUCUUAGAUUAUUUACUCUAUCUUUGAUAACAUAUCUUGUAAGGGAGUCUGGCUUUGUGAUUAAAACUAUGUUGAGAAAUGGAAUAUGUCCGAAAGAAAUUUCUACUGUUGUAGCUUUGAACAAGAGCUUACCCUUUCUAAGCCUGUCUCCCAUUUAACAAUGAGAUUAGACCAGAUGACCCCUAUCAUCCCUUGGAUUGCUAUUAGAAUAUAGUUACUUUGCUGUGGCAAUACCAAGAUUGCAUUAUCUCCUCCAUCUUUCGUGUAUGUAUCAGCCCUUAAGAAAAAUCCUUCAUAGAAGUAACAAGUCAUUCCAAGAUUUAUUUCAGAUUAUAGACGAACAACUGUUAGGCAAUUGUUAAGAUACUAUGCUAGGUUGUCAUUCAGUUAUUAUGAAACCCUCACUCUGAAAAAGUAUGAUGGUCUAAUAUUUAACACUAAAUGAUAACAAUGCUUAGUCUUACUUUGGAAGAAGACAGAUUAUUAUAUACAGGUUGGGUUUACUCAAAAUUAACUACCAGCUUAUUGGCCCAGAUAGUCAUGGUCCAUGGCUUGCCUAUUUUCUACUUGAUUUUACUAAGUAGUACACAUGCUCUUCUGAGUUGAAUUAUGUUUAAAUAUGGCAAAGUUCGGGGCACCUGGGUGGCGCAGUCGGUUACGCGUCCGACUUCAGCCAGGUCACGAUCUCGCGCUCCGUGAGUUCGAGCCCCGCGUCGGGCUCUGGGCUGAUGGCUCAGAGCCUGGAGCCUGUUUCUGAUUCUGUGUCUCCCUCUCUCUCUGCCCCUCCCCCGUUCAUGCUCUGUCUCUCUCUGUCCCAAAAAUAAAUAAAAAACGUUGAAAAAAAAAUUUAAAUAUGGCAAAGUUCAAGUAGGAUACUAUCACUUUUUAUUCAGUAAUACAAAAAAUAUUAUUUGCUAUUGGUCUCAUGCAUGCCCUGACUUGACAGGUGAUGUGUUUAAAACUCUCUCUCUCUCUCUCUCUCUCUCUCUCACACACACACACACACACACACACACACUUCCAGCAAAUCAACAUCCAUGCUCUGGGUGACAUGGGAUGGGAGGGCAUGUCUGUACUUGUUUGUGACAUAGAUUUGUUGAUAUUUUAGGGAGGGGAGUAAUACAUUGAUAUUUAUUUCCGAUUAGCCUUAUUUUAGGGUUCUUUUUCAGAGUCUGUGGAAGGUCAUCUUAAGGCCAUACUGUGACUUUACUGAAUGUGACUACCCAUUCAGCAGCCUAUGAGGCAGGAGUCUCCAGGCUGACGUCUCCAGGCUGAGUCCCCAAGCUUCAGUAGGUAACUACUGAAUAAGUAGCAUGUGUUACAUGGGCCUUCAGAGAGUCUGCGGCCCCAAGUUCAGUAGCACUGAAAUCGGGAGCUGGACAUCCCAUUUACCCAGAAACCUUGGUCACUGUCUUUCCAACAAAGGCUGGAUCUUCCUUCCCCAUCUCAUCUGUCUCUUUGGAGAAGAAAAGCAUGGGGACGACUUUCCAUGGAAGCUCUCAGAGAUAUGCUGUCCUUACUCAGACUACCUGAGCCAGCAUUCCCCCACAUUAGACCCACUGGUGACUCCCUUAUUGUUGCACAAGGUGACAGUGUUCCUAUGACACAGAAACACAGUAGGGCACUUGUGCCACAGAGCUAUGGGAGAGGCUGGUGGUCUGCCCUGAGAUUGCUAUCCACCAAAACCGAGGCUUUCAGCAAACUGCUUGGCGCCUGUAGACAGGGAUCCAAGUGUUGAUCGUUCAGCGAUGGGCAGACCUCCUGUGGCUUCAGCAAAUUUCAGAACAGCACUUAGGCUGGUAUUCCUGGGGGACAAGAUGUGACAUCAGUUGGGUUUUCAGCCCCAAACUGCCAUCAGAAGGAUCUCCCAAGUAUCUUACAUCCCUGCAAAGGUGUGAGGUUAUCUUUUAUACACUGUUCCAUCUAAAAGUCAAGCCUGGUACCAACCAAAUGGGUUCUGUUGCAAGGAACUUGAGGAUAUUCUUGUCCUCGAUCUGCAGGAUGAAAAGGCUCUGGCCAUUCUGAAGGUUUUCCUUUAAGUUGAUUCAGGAAUUUAGGAUCACACCAUAUGAUGAUUCUGGGCAGCACAGAAAGGCUUCAAUUUGUUCUUAUUGACUUGACUUGUGCUCCCAGCAGGUUUGAGGGAAACCUGGGGCUAUUAACUAAGGAAAGGGACAAGCCAAAUCAAUGUGACUUGGAACGUGUACCCUCGGCCUCAGUGAUAGACACUGUCUGGUUAUGGAGACUAGAAGCACGCCCACAUUCAUGGGACCCUUGCUUACCAGGGUGUGUCUUAGAACCAACCAGGAUCAUUUUUGAAUAGAUCAAAAUACUAUCUCUGCCCCUAGAAAGUCCUGGAUUGGAAUCCAGGAAGUGGGGAGUGCUGUCCUCCUUUGAUGUCAUGGUCAGAUCAUCAUUUUACCUGGGGAAACAGUGACUUGGCAAACCCCUCCUUUCCUUUCGUACCAUGCUCUGGGCACUGGGGCCAUUGAUGAGCAAUGAAUGGGUGGGGGCGGGGGAGGGGGUGCUUCAGUGACAUCACAGAUGUCGGUCCACACCAGGUCAGCUUUCCCUCUCCCUCAUCACCCCCUUCCUUCGGCCAAAGUUUGUAUGCUGGACCUGUAGGACAUGAAGUCAUAUGUGACCCUUCCUUGGGCUGGAUGCUGUCGUCUGGCCAGAUAAACUAACAGGCUAGGAGAUCCAGCUGGGGCUGGCUGUACUUUGCCCACGUCUGUUACAACAUAUGGUACACUCACUUGAAGUGACUGACAGAGCUAUUUAAUUUUACAGUUUGUCUGAUGCCCCCACCCAAAUACCACGCAUACCGUCAUGUGCUGAUGCAAAACGGCAUUUGUGAGCAGUCUCAACUGGGUUUCAAUCACGGAUUUCACGAAAGGAACACUUUAAAAUUGGAUUUGAACUCCACAGCUCCCAGGAUAGGGCAGAGCUGGAUGGAAACAUCUGGAGAUGUACCCGGGAACAGGGCCCACCAUGUUCCUCGGGAGGAAAUCGAGGCGGCAAGAUUGACGCCCAAGGACUCAUCCAGCCAGUUGACACAAGCCUAGAACUUUCCGCCUGACUUCCAACCAAUACUCUUUCCAGCCCGGGCUGUCAUCACACGUGAUGUUUUGCUUCAUGUACAAAAUAAGGCCCCUCAGAACCUUUCCCGGAACUGGACCUUUGGACCUCAAAAUGGUUUAAUGCACACUUUUGGGAAGGGAGAGCCACAAGGCCUCUAAGUGGUUUUGAUCAAGUUUGCCAAUAUUUACACCGUUGGAUAAUCUGCAUGAACUUCAUAAAUAAUGUAAAUUCCUACAAAGCGAGUUAACCGUGAGCUACGGUGGUCUUUCGAAAAAUCCAUGUUACACAAUCAUCCUGACAAAGUUAACAACUCGAUGGAAUACCGAAGGUAACCACUGAUUGCACUCGCUGCCAUUGACCAUUUUAAGUGUGACUAUUUUUAAAAUACUGUAUGCCUCAUUACGCCGGGCUCUGAAAAUGAGAAAUUUGCUUUAACUGCAUUGUUUUGAAUUGCUGAGAGAAGAAUCUAUCAACCACAAGGUGCCCUGCUGCUGAACUCAGCCAAAAAGCUGUUAAUAACCCCAGCAGAUGUUUCAGCUUUUUAGGCCAAUAGACUCCCUCUCUCCCUGCCCUCCCCUUUCUAGAAUCUGAUGCCAAUAUGACUGAACUCCAGUUUCUGUGGUUGCUGCCUCCGUGGCCGCCUCCACCAGAGUCAGUGAUACUAGAGCUGCUGAGGAAUUGAUUCUUUAAACAACCGGUAGCAACACAGCCCAGCCCUUUAAGGUCAGAGCAUUAUUGCUUUUACCGUUAGACGUUUAAAUCUUCAGGGAGGAAAUGAAGGUAAGGGCACCGAAUCUGUAGUCCUGUUCUGUCGUCUGCCUUCAUUGCCAGUCAUUUCAUUCUACUUGUUGUGGUUUGUCCCCACGCUCAGAGUCCAUUUCUCAGACUGAUCAGGGCAUUGGGCUUGCCGGGUAGAGGUCAUUAAUACAUCGAGUCCCCACCGGUCGCUGAGGGAUGUUGGGUUAGCAGCUUUACAAAGGGGGCCUCUGUGCGAUGUGCAGUUUGGGAUGGUUGUUUGCCUAAUACCACAAGGCUCAGAAUGCCCUGACCUUAGCAGUUCUGCAAUAUUAGAAGUGUGUAUUAUAAAUACAGCUACAUCCCUGUGAGAUGGGUACAAUAUGAGGGCAUAUGGGGCCACGGCAAUCCCAGAUGGGGAUUUGUCAACUUCUCUGGACAAACCUUACGUCUUAACUUGAAAUUAAAUCUACAUUCCAAGGCUUUCCAAAUGAGAAGACAUUUUUUAAAAAGGGGAGGGAAAGAUGCUCCCCCUUCUCCCACUCGCCUGCCCGCCUCCCCAUACUCACUUAUUUCGGAAAGAGCGCUUUAAGGCA